GACGGGGCCCGCACAAGCGGUGGAGCAUGUGGUUUAAUUCGACGCAACGCGAAGAACCUUACCAGGGCUUGACAUCCCCUGACCGCGUAUGAAAGUACGUUUUCACCCUCGGGUGACAGGGAGACAGGUGGUGCAUGGGUUGUCGUCAGCUCGUGUCGUGAGAUGUUGGGUUAAGUCCCGCAACGAGCGCAACCCCUACGUUUAGUUGCUAACAGGUGAAGCUGAGCACUCUAGACGAACUGCCGUUGACAAAACGGAGGAAGGUGGGAUGACGUCAAAUCAUCAUGCCCCUUAUGUUCUGGGCUACACACGUGCUACAAUGGCCGGUACAGACGGAGGCGAAGCCGCGAGGCGGAGCAAAUCCGAAAAAGCCGGUCUCAGUUCGGAUUGCAGGCUGCAAUUCGCCUGCAUGAAGUCGGAAUCGCUAGUAAUCGCAGGUCAGCAUACUGCGGUGAAUACGUUCCCGGGUCUU
This 472-nucleotide ribosomal RNA is filed under the name uncultured Pelotomaculum sp. RNAcentral's name for it is "bacterial SSU rRNA". It matches the Rfam family "Bacterial small subunit ribosomal RNA", at positions 916 to 1381 of the family's 1533-position model. Lineage: Bacteria; Bacillati; Bacillota; Clostridia; Eubacteriales; Desulfotomaculaceae. The record is from RNAcentral.